This 463-nucleotide ribosomal RNA is filed under the name uncultured bacterium. Its description in RNAcentral is "partial 16S ribosomal RNA". It matches the Rfam family "Bacterial small subunit ribosomal RNA", at positions 28 to 507 of the family's 1533-position model. The record is from RNAcentral.
GAUGAACGCUGACAGAAUGCUUAACACAUGCAAGUCGAUGGGGAAGUGGUGCUUGCACCAUGGUAACCAUGGCGGACGGGUGAGUAACGCGUAAGGAACUUGCCUGCGGGACUGGGAUAACAGCAGGAAACUGCUGAUAAUACCGGAUAAGGUCAUUAAGCUGCAUAGCUUAGUGAUGAAAGGAGACGCCUGCGGAGAGCCUUGCGUCCUAUUAGCUAGUUGGAGGGGUAACGGCCCACCAAGGCGAAGAUAGGUAGCCGGCCUGAGGGGGUGGACGGCCACAAGGGGACUGAGAUACGGCCCUUACUCCUACGGGAGGCAGCAGUGGGGAAUAUUGGACAAUGGGGGCAACCCUGAUCCAGCAAUUCUGUGUGCACGAAGACGGUUUUCGGAUUGUAAAGUGCUUUCAGCAGGGAAGAAGGAAGUGACGGUACCUGCAGAAGAAGCGACGGCUAAAUACGUG